Molecule: ribosomal RNA, 484 nt
Filed under: uncultured bacterium
Lineage: Bacteria
Description: partial 16S ribosomal RNA
Rfam family: Bacterial small subunit ribosomal RNA
Source: RNAcentral
AUUGAACGCUGGCGGUAUGCCUUACACAUGCAAGUCGAACGGCAGCGCGGGAGCAAUCCUGGCGGCGAGUGGCGAACGGGUGAGUAAUACAUCGGAACGUGCCCAAUCGUGGGGGAUAACGCAGCGAAAGCUGUGCUAAUACCGCAUACGAUCUACGGAUGAAAGCAGGGGAUCGCAAGACCUUGCGCGCAUGGAGCGGCCGAUGGCAGAUUAGGUAGUUGGUGAGGUAAAGGCUCACCAAGCCUUCGAUCUGUAGCUGGUCUGAGAGGACGACCAGCCACACUGGGAGUGGGACACGGCCCAGACUCCUACGGGAGGCAGCAGUGGGGAAUUUUGGACAAUGGGCGAAAGCCUGAUCCAGCCAUGCCGCGUGCAGGAUGAAGGCCUUCGGGUUGUAAACUGCUUUUGUACGGAACGAAACGGUCUUUUCUAAUAAAGAAGGCUAAUGACGGUACCGUAAGAAUAAGCACCGGCUAACUACGUG